GUAUUUAUUCGCGCUUUUUACACGCUAACUUUUUACGUUCGUUACAUUUUUGUGUGUGUAAAAUUCAUAGCAAGGGCAUCCAGAGCCCAAAAGAGGACUCCGUUAACAUCCCAAGCUACAGGUGAUGCACAGGUGUGAGAGGUGGAUUUGCGAUCAGGGCGUGCACAUGCCCGGAGAGGCCAGCUACAACCCUUCUCGACAAACAUUUCAUUAAUGAUCCUUCCGCAGGUUCACCUACGGAAA
This 243-nucleotide unclassified non-coding RNA is filed under the name uncultured fungus. RNAcentral describes it as "sequence contains ITS1". The record is from RNAcentral. Lineage: Eukaryota; Fungi.